Molecule: transfer RNA, 75 nt
Filed under: Candidatus Magasanikbacteria bacterium CG10_big_fil_rev_8_21_14_0_10_36_32
Lineage: Bacteria; Candidatus Magasanikiibacteriota
Description: tRNA-Gly
Rfam family: tRNA
About the family: Transfer RNA (tRNA) molecules are approximately 80 nucleotides in length. Their secondary structure includes four short double-helical elements and three loops (D, anti-codon, and T loops). Further hydrogen bonds mediate the characteristic L-shaped molecular structure. tRNAs have two regions of fundamental functional importance: the anti-codon, which is responsible for specific mRNA codon recognition, and the 3' end, to which the tRNAs corresponding amino acid is attached (by aminoacyl-tRNA synthetases). tRNAs cope with the degeneracy of the genetic code in two manners: having more than one tRNA (with a specific anti-codon) for a particular amino acid; and 'wobble' base-pairing, i.e. permitting non-standard base-pairing at the 3rd anti-codon position.
Source: RNAcentral
GCGGGUAUCAUAUAACGGCUAUUAUCCCAGUUUUCCAAACUGGUGACACGGGUUCGACUCCCGUUACCCGCUCAA